CCUACGGGAGGCAGCAGUGAGGAAUAUUGGUCAAUGGGCGAGAGCCUGAACCAGCCAAGUCGCGUGAGGGAGUACUGCCCUAUGGGUUGUAAACCUCUUUUGUCGGGGAGCAAAAGCCGGACGUGUCCGGCUGUGAGAGUACCCGAAGAGAAAGCAUCGGCUAACUCCGUGCCAGCAGCCGCGGUAAUACGGAGGAUGCGAGCGUUAUCCGGAUUUAUUGGGUUUAAAGGGUGCGCAGGCGGAUUUUUAAGUCAGCGGUAAAAUCGUGGGGCUCAACCCCAUCCAGCCGUUGAAACUGGGGAUCUAGAGUGUGCGAGAGGUAUGCGGAAUGCGUGGUGUAGCGGUGAAAUGCAUAGAUAUCACGCAGAACCCCGAUUGCGAAGGCAGCAUACCGGUGCACAACUGACGCUCAGGCACGAAAGCGUGGGUAUCGAACAGGAUUAGAUACCCUAGUAGUC
Molecule: ribosomal RNA, 458 nt
Filed under: uncultured bacterium
Lineage: Bacteria
Description: partial 16S ribosomal RNA
Rfam family: Bacterial small subunit ribosomal RNA
Source: RNAcentral